RNAcentral lists this ribosomal RNA (310 nucleotides) under Dentiscutata erythropus. RNAcentral describes it as "partial 25S ribosomal RNA". The record is from RNAcentral. Lineage: Eukaryota; Fungi; Glomeromycota; Glomeromycetes; Diversisporales; Gigasporaceae.
UUGAAAGGGAAACGAUUGAAGUCAGUCAUGCCGGCGGGAAUCAACUUAGGGGAAACUUUAAGUGCACUUCACGUUUGGCAGGUCAGCAUCGAUUUUGGAUGUCAUAAAAUGAUUGGGGGAAGGUAGCUCCUUCGGGAGUGUUAUAGCCCUUGGUAGAUGUGAUGUCUGGGAUCGAGGAUUGCAACGGAUACCCUUUGGGCUAGCCGCCUGAUCUCUAACUGGUGUUGGGUUACGGACAGCAUGCUGACCGUGAUUUAAUUAUUGGUUAAAAGGUUAGAGCGAGUGUAAAUUCGUUAAGGAUGUUGACGUA